Molecule: unclassified non-coding RNA, 263 nt
Filed under: uncultured bacterium
Lineage: Bacteria
Description: contains 16S-23S intergenic spacer region
Source: RNAcentral
UCGCGGCUUAUCACCUGCCAAGCACCCUCGAAGGCUCCCUCCCUUUCAGGAAGGAUGCAGCUUGGUUUCUAGCCCUGGUAAGGUUCUUCGCUUAACGACGAAUUAAGCCACAUGAUCCACCGCUUGUGCGAGUCCCCGUCUAUUCCUUUGAGUUUUAAUCUUGCGAUCGUACUACCCAGGCGGCUCGCUUACCGCGUUAGCUUAGUCCCACAGAGGGUCGAUACUCCGUAGAACGAGCGAGCAGCGUUUAGGGCCAGGACUAC